AGAAUCAACGCUGGCGGCGUGCCUAACACAUGCAAGUCGAACGAGAAAGUGGAGCAAUCCAUGAGUACAGUGGCGUACGGGUGAGUAACACGUGACUAACCUACCCUCGAGUGGGGAAUAACCUCGGGAAACCGGGGCUAAUACCGCAUAACAUCUACGGAUCAAAUGCGUAAGCAGCUUGAGGAGGGGGUCGCGGCUGAUUAGCUAGUUGGCGGGGUAAUGGCCCACCAAGGCGGUGAUCAGUAGCCGGCCUGAGAGGGCGCACGGCCACACUGGAACUGAAACACGGUCCAGACUCCUACGGGAGGCAGCAGUGGGGAAUUUUGCGCAAUGGGGGAAACCCUGACGCAGCAACGCCGCGUGGAGGAUGAAGCCCCUCGGGGUGUAAACUCCUUUCGAUCGGGACGAUUAUGACGGUACCGGAUGAAGAAGCACCGGCUAACUCUGUGCCAGCAGCCGC
RNAcentral lists this ribosomal RNA (460 nucleotides) under uncultured bacterium. RNAcentral's name for it is "SSU rRNA". It matches the Rfam family "Bacterial small subunit ribosomal RNA", at positions 26 to 518 of the family's 1533-position model. The record is from RNAcentral.